GCAACUCGACUCCAUGAAGCUGGAUUCGCUAGUAAUCGCGCAUCAGCCAUGGCGCGGUGAAUACGUUCCCGGGCCUUGUACACACCGCCCGUCAAGCCAUGGAAGCCGGGAGUGCCUGAAGUGUGCAACCGCAAGGAGCGCCCUAAGGUAAAAACUGGUGACUGGGGCUAAGUCGUAACAAGGUAUC
RNAcentral lists this ribosomal RNA (187 nucleotides) under uncultured bacterium. Its description in RNAcentral is "partial 16S ribosomal RNA". It matches the Rfam family "Bacterial small subunit ribosomal RNA", at positions 1307 to 1500 of the family's 1533-position model. The record is from RNAcentral.